GAACCUACGGGAGGCAGCAGGGGGGAAUAUUGGGCAAUGGGCGCAAGCCUGACCCAGCAACGCCGCGUGAAGGAAGAAGGCUUUCGGGUUGUAAACUUCUUUUCUCAGGGACGAAGCAAGUGACGGUACCUGAGGAAUAAGCCACGGCUAACUACGUGCCAGCAGCCGCGGUAAUACGUAGGUGGCAAGCGUUAUCCGGAUUUACUGGGUGUAAGGGGCGUGUAGGCGGGAAAGCAAGUCAGAUGUGGAAACCACGGGAGCAACC
This 265-nucleotide ribosomal RNA is filed under the name uncultured bacterium. RNAcentral's name for it is "partial 16S ribosomal RNA". It matches the Rfam family "Bacterial small subunit ribosomal RNA", at positions 333 to 614 of the family's 1533-position model. The record is from RNAcentral.